RNAcentral lists this ribosomal RNA (306 nucleotides) under uncultured bacterium. RNAcentral describes it as "bacterial SSU rRNA". It matches the Rfam family "Bacterial small subunit ribosomal RNA", at positions 30 to 334 of the family's 1533-position model. The record is from RNAcentral.
AUUGAACGCUGGCGGCACGCUUAACACAUGCAAGUCGAACGGUAACAGAUCUAGCUUGCUAGAUGCUGACGAGUGGCGGACGGGUGAGUAACGCGUAGGAACCUACCCUGGAGCGAGGGACAACUUGAGGAAACUUGAGCUAAUACCCCAUACGCUUUUAGGAGGAAAGGUUGCAUUUCGGUGCAGCCGCUCUGGGAUGGGCCUGCGUUAGAUUAGCUUGUUGGUGAGGUAAAGGCUCACCAAGGCGACGAUCUAUAGCUGUUCUGAGAGGAAGAUCAGCCACACUGGGACUGAGACACGGCCCAG